UGAGGAAUAUUGGUCAAUGGACGAAAGUCUGAACCAGCCAUGCCGCGUGCAGGAUGACUGCCCUAUGGGUUGUAAACUGCUUUUAUAUACCAAGAAACCCCAGAACGUGUUCUGGGCUGACGGUAGUAUAUGAAUAAGCACCGGCUAACUCCGUGCCAGCAGCCGCGGUAAUACGGAGGGUGCAAGCGUUAUCCGGAUUUAUUGGGUUUAAAGGGUCCGUAGGCGGGUUAUUAAGUCAGUGGUGAAAGCCUGCAGCUCAACUGUAGAACUGCCAUUGAUACUGAUAAUCUUGAGUGUAACUGGAGUAGGCGGAAUAUGUCAUGUAGCGGUGAAAUGCUUAGAUAUGACAUAGAACACCAAUCGCGAAGGCGGCUUACUAAGUUAUUACUGACGCUGAGGGACGAAAGCGUGGGGAGCGAACAGG
Molecule: ribosomal RNA, 424 nt
Filed under: uncultured bacterium
Lineage: Bacteria
Description: bacterial SSU rRNA
Rfam family: Bacterial small subunit ribosomal RNA
Source: RNAcentral